RNAcentral lists this unclassified non-coding RNA (923 nucleotides) under Apis florea (little honeybee). RNAcentral describes it as "protein lin-52 homolog, transcript variant X1". The record is from RNAcentral. Lineage: Eukaryota; Metazoa; Arthropoda; Insecta; Hymenoptera; Apidae.
UUCGAUAUCUCGCACUCCCACGAUUAUGUACUGUCGAUAAUAAAGCCGCAUAUAAAGUGCAUAAAUAUAUUUGAAUCGUAAGAAAAAUAUUAUGUCACUUCCUGCAAAAAUUACUUUCGCAUUAUGUUGUGCAACAUCGGCAAGUAUCAUAUUUUAUGUGCACUAUCAACAAGAAGCUGAGAGAAAACAACUUGAGAUAGGUGUAGAACGAGAUAUUCAACGACAAGAACAGAAUAAAUUAAAAUCAUUGUUGAAACAACAAACACAGUUGGCAGAUCAGUUGCGAGAAUCAUCAAAAAACGAAAAAAACCUUCAAACCUUAUAACAUAUUUCGCUGUUGACUUUAGGUUAGGUUAGGUUAUACAAUAUCAAUGAACAUAAUGACUACGGAAGAACCAACAGAACCAGAUUUAAUUUGUGUAGAAGAAAGUCUUAUGAGUUUAGAAAAACUAGAUAGAGCAUCACCAGAUUUAUGGCCUGAACAAAUUCCAGGUGUAAAUGAAUUUGUAGCUCAAAAUUCACCUCAAACAGAACCAUCUGCUUGGGCUGCUGGUCUCACACCAGAUGAUAUAAAUCAGUUACAUCAAUUAGGAAAUUUGUCAAUGGGUGGUUUAAUAUCCGAAGUAAAAAAAUUACAUGAUAUGGCGUAUCAAUUAGGAUUGGAAGAGGCAAAAGAGAUGACUCGUGGAAAAUAUUUAAACAUUUUCAAGCAUAAAUAGCAAAGGUUUGAUUAAAGAUGAUAUAUACGUAAGAAAAUAAUAAUAUAUAUGUAUAAUCCAUGUUACGUAUUUCUGUACAUUGACAAAGACUGAUGGAAAGCUGGUGGUUACAUUGCAGUUGGAACUAUAUGAUAAAAUACCUAACUGAAAUUUAUGUAAAUAUAUAAUUGUAAUUUUAUAUAUAAAUAUAUGAUUUAAUUAUAC